Molecule: long non-coding RNA, 10620 nt
Filed under: Nicotiana tabacum (common tobacco)
Lineage: Eukaryota; Viridiplantae; Streptophyta; Magnoliopsida; Solanales; Solanaceae
Description: long non-coding RNA (NTAB_LNC012163)
Source: RNAcentral
CCAUGGUUCAGUGAAACCGUUAAAGAAGGAGAUUACGUGGUCCUCAUGAUGAAUGCUAGAGCAGCAGAGCUGAAUAUUUUGACAGAACUAUUCAAAACUGGAUCAAUAUGCUAUGUCGAUGAACUAUUCCUUCGCUGCUCAGCUGCAGACUGCAAAAAUGCUCUUUGUGGAGACUGCAUUACUCUUUUCAAAACUCUUAGGGAAAGUGGUGUUUUUGCUCAUCAGUGGUGGGGAGAGUAGACUUUGUCAAGAGUCUGGUGCAUUAAUAUUAUUGUCUUUUCUUUCAACUUAUGCUAUAGUGUCUGUUGGGAAUAAAUUGAGGGGAGGUUGUAGGUUGAUACUGUAAUCUUCCUUUCUUCCCUUUGUAACUGCAUUUUAUGUCUUAUGUAUGUGUCCGUGUGUGUGUGAGUUUCUGUUGUCUGUAAAAUCCUCUUUUAGCAUAUGGAGGAAAAGUCUACUAUGUUUUAAAAAUUAUGCUUUAUUGUGAAUCCAUGUGGUUACUAUUUAUGCAGUUUGCCCCAUUUGUGUUUUUUGUUUUUGGUUGUUUGAUGGUGAAUUCUAGCUAAUAUUCAAGAUUGUUUUAGGAAAUAGAAGGGCAACUUUGGAGCAACGGUAAAGUUGUCUCCGUGUGAUUUAUAGUGUACGGGUUCGAGCCAUAUAAGCAAUCAACAACAACAACAACAAUCCAGUGGAAUAUCACAAGUGGGGUUUGGGGAGGGUAGUGUGUACGCAGACCUUACCCCCUACUCCGGAUGAGUAGAGAGGCUGUUUCCGAUAGACCCUCAAAGAAGAUGAAAAGAGAUAGUGGCGCAGUAAUAUCAGAGGAAGCAAGCAAGAAAGAAAGAUAACUUCAGCAACGCAAUAACCAAAAAAUAGAUAGAAAACAAUAACAAUAAGCAGUAACAGUACUACAGACACAAUGAAAGUAAUAUGGAUACAACAAAAGCCACUAGCAUCCUAAGACACUACACUAUCGGACUAGCCUCCUAGCCUCCUACGACCUAACCUUCAGUCCUAAAGAAGUAAUAUGGACACAAUUGAAGCCACUAGCAGCCUAUGACAAACACAUGCUAGCCUCCUACUUCCUAUCCUACAACCUUAAUGUUCGCCCUCCACAACUUCCUAUCAAGGGCCAUGUCCUUGGAAAUCUGAAGUCGCGCCAGGUCUUGCCUGAUCACCUCUCUCCAAUAUUUCUUUGGCCGCCCUCUGCCUUUUCUCACACCCGUCAAGGCCAACCGUUCACACCUCCUAACGGGGGUAUCCAUGCUUCUCCUUCGCACGCGCCCGAACCAUCCAAGCCUAACUUCCCGCAUUCUGUCUUCUAUGGGAACCACACCCACCUUCACCCGGAUAUCUUCAUUCUUAAUCUUAUCCAGCCUAGUGUGCCCGCACAUCCAUCUCAACAUCCUCAUUUCUGCAACUUUCACCUUCUGGAUAUGAGAAUUCUUGACUGACCAACACUCAGCACCAUACAUCAUGGCCGGUCUAACCACCGCUCUAUAGAACUUACCUUUAAGUAUCGGGGGCACCUUCCUGUCACACAAGACACCAGACGCUAACCUCCAUUUCAUUCAUCCCACCCCUGUACGGUACGCAACAUCCUCAUCAAUCUCCCCAUCCUCCUAGAUAACCGAUUCGGGGUACUUGAAGCUCCCUUUCUUGGGAAUGACUUGAGAGUCAAGCCUCACGUCCAUGUCCGUUUCUCCCGAAACGCCGCUAAACUUGCACUCCACGUAUUCUGUCUUAGUCCUGCUCAACUUGAAACCUUUAGACUCAAGGGUUUGUCUCCAAAUCUCCAACCUCUCGUUAACACCGCCUCGCGUCUCAUCGAUCAGAAUAAUAUCAUCGGCGAAUAACAUACACCAUGACACCUCCCUUUGGAUAUGGUGUGUCAGUGCGUCCAUCGCCAGGGCAAUAGGAACGGAAUGAGCGUCGAUCCUUGGUGUAAACCCAUAACAAUCGGAAAAUGCUUCGAGUCGCCCCUCACUGUCCUAACCCGAGUCUUAGCUCUAUCAUAUAUGUCCGUAAUCAUCCUAAUAUAAGCCAUAUAAACAACCACUAAUGUACUAAUGCUUGCAUUGGGUAGGCUGUCUAUAUCACAUCCUUUAGGGUGCAGCUUUUUCCUGGACCAUGCGUUAAUGCGGAAUAUUUUGUGCACUGGACUGCCCCUAAGAAAAUAUGUAGACAAAAGAUCUUAAUCCUAGUAGCAUAUAAUUCAUUUGCUAUUCUACUUGAACUGAUCAAUGUUCUGGUUUUUCUUUUUCUUUUCUGAGGUAGAGAAAGGACCUAAGAAAUCUUCCCCUCUAACUAUCCAAAAUAAUUUAGCCUAUUAUUGUUGCUCCUUUACCAUUUCCCAAGUUUCCAUUGAGAGAAUAGAACGGGAAUAAAAAUGAACUGAUAACGAGAAUUAAAGUAAGGUUUUUGAUUAUUUUUUCUAUUUCGUUUCAUUUUUCUUCUGGGUAAUGUCUAGGUGUUCCUUUUGUGGGGUUUCCUUUUACUCUUUUUUAGUCGAAAGUCUAUUGGAAAUAACUAUUCUAUCUUCACAAGUAAUGGUGGCAAAAUGGUUAAAAGCAAACAGUUAUCCACUCAUAUUAUUCAUUAAAAAAUGGGUUGGAUAAUACACUUUUUAAAAACGGGUCAAAUAUGGAUAAAAAUCAUAUUAUCUUAGAAAAUGGAUAACCAAUAGAUAACUAACAACUUUAACUUUUACAUUUGUGUAAAGCCUCAAAUUGGGAGUUCCUCAAUUUUAGAAGACUAGGAAUUCUCCCAAAAGUUAUCAUAUUCAAGAAACCGUGGAUAAUAUGGAUAUCCAUAUUAUCCGUUGGUUAACCCGUUUUUAAUACGUAUUAAAUAUGGGCCGGAUCGCAUAAUUUCAUUUUUGCAUUGCAUGUUUUUGGCACGCCCAUAUCUGAUCCAACCCGACCACUUGCCACCAAUGUUCACAAGGUAAAGUAAAGUUUGCGUACACAUUAUCCUUUAAUCCUACACUGUGGGAAUACACUAGGUAUGUUUUGUUUUGUAUUCCAUCAAGGGAUGAGAGUAAAUUUGGAUAAAGCAUAUCCUAUUGACCUAAUAACCCAAUAUAAUGACCUACUCAAAAUCGAAGAGGAAUUUUGAAAAAUUAAAAUCAAGAAUAAAUUGGCUCCAAGAUGGAGAUGCCAACACACAAAAAUUUCACUUAACUAUUUUACAACGACGUAGACGAAACCGUAUUACUGCUCUUAAAGACUCAGUGGGUAAUUGGAUAUUAGAUAAAAAAGAAAUCAACAUCUCAAUAGAAGGCUAUUAUCACAACUUAUUCAUUACUAGUUAUACCCAUCACACUAACCCUGAAUUUAAAGCUUGUUACAAUACCAUCAAUACUCAUGACUAUUCAAAGUUGGACUCAUCCAUUACAUCAUUAGAAAUCACAAAUUCCCUUAAGUCUUUCCAACCUUUUAAAACACCUGGAACUGAUGGAUUACAUCCAUACUUCUUUCAAAAUUACUGGACUCAAGUGAACUCUUCAGUCACUUCUUUUUGUGAGGAUGUCUUUAACACACAACAGAUUCCCCCAUAAAUCAAUAAAACUUAUCUAUGCCUCAUCCCUAAAGCACAACAACCUAUCCUCAUCACUCAAUAUCGACCAAUAAGCCUUUGUAACACUCUUUAUAAGUUAAUUACCAAAAUCAUACUCCACCGUAUCAAACCAACUCUAUUUAGUCUCAUUAGCCCGGAACAAUCAUCCUUCUUGCAUUAUCAUAGAGCAACUGAUAAUGCACUUAUAGUACAAUAGAUUAUGCAUCAUUUCAAGAGAAAAAAAGGUGCUCAGGCUUCUUUUCUAUUCAAAUUAGAUCUCGAAAAAGCUUUUGACAAACUGGAAUGGGGAUUCAUACAUGACACCCUCCACUACUUCAACUUCCCACCUAAGUUGAUCAAAUUAAUAAUGUCUUGCAUAACUACCUCUUCCAUCUCAAUUCUCAUUAAUGGACAACCCACCCCUUUCUUCUCACCUUCAAGAGGCAUUCGUCAAGGGGACCCCCUAUCACCCUAUAUUUUCAUCCUUUAUAAGGAAAUACUCUCACGUAAAAUACAUGUUGAAGUAGAUUACCAAAAGUGGCACCCCAUCAAAUUAUCUAGACAAGGCCCACAAAUCUCUCACCUCCAAUUCGCUGACGACAUUACUUUAAUUUCAAAAAAUACCACAAAGAGCAUCAAUUCUAUAAUUGACACACUCAACCUGUUUACUAAGGUUUCGAGCUUAACUAUUAAUUAUACCAAAAAUAAAUCUCUAAAAACACUUCCAUAGCGGAUAGAGAAACUGUGAUCCAUUCAUUCCAUAUGGUUGAAGGGUAAACUUUCGGCAAAUUUCUUGGAUAUCCUAUUUUCACUAAAUAACCUACAAAAUCUGAUUUUUAAUUCCUUCUUGAUAACUACAAAAAUAGACUAGCCGGGUAAAAAAUAAAUUUGUUAACAAUGGCGGGAGGAACCACCAUAAUAAAAGCCACCCUAAAUUGCUUACCAAAUCAUGUAAUGCAAUUGAUAAAAGUACCUACUAGUAUUACUAAUAAGUUAGAAUGGCAUCAAAGAAACUUUCUUUGGGGAACCACAACUCAGAAAUGUAAACUCCACCUUAUUAAAUGGAAAACCAUCUAAUUGACCAAAAACUGUGGUGGACUGAAAAUUCAUAAUCUUUCGGGAUACAAAAAAAUGCCUUACUUGGAUCCCUAGAUUGAAGAUUGUUCCAAUCCCCUUCAUCCCAUUGGGCUUCAAUCCUCAUAUCAAAAUACUAAGGAAUACUACCUCUACUAAUAUUUCCUCAAAUUGGAAAGCCAUCAAACAAGGGUGGGCUUCCUGUUAAAAUGGAAUAAAGCAUACUGCAAAUGGAAACCACAUUAAUUUUUGAACAGAACCUUGGUUAGGCCCCAACUUGAUACUUAGACAAUUAAUUGAAGGCCCCCUAACCCAUAAUGAACAAUCAUCUACAUUAGCACUAUAUAUCGAUGGGAACUCAAUAAAUCUUCCAAAAAUACCUUUUGAACUCCCAAAUAAUUUAAAUGACCUAAUUAGUAAUCAAUAUAUCCCUACCAUCACGAAUACAAAUUCCUACGGUCACAUCUACUGGGGCCUCACCCCAAAGGAAAUCUUUAGGGUAAAAUUAUUGUAUAAACAAAUGCGUGCUAAACCAAAAAAUAAUUCCUUCCAAUGGUUAUGAAACCUUCAACUACCCCAAAAAUUAAAGCAUUUCCUUUGUCUUAGGAGUCACCAACGUCUACCCACAAAAAGUUAUCUCCACAAUAUACACUUAUCCCAAAAUUCCCUUUGCCCAGUCUGCCAGUCCAACAAUAAAACCUGUCACGACCCCAAACACCCCGAUCGUGAUGGCUCUUAUCACAGUACUAGACUAGCCGAAACAACAUGAACAAUAUAAAGGUCUUUUGUAAAUUCAUUUUCUAAUAAGAUAUAAUCUCAAAUCAUUCAUUUUAAUAUAUAUCAAAAAUACGCGGAAGGACAAAUACGUAAGUACAUCAACCCAGUCCGAUCCUGCUGUCACUAGUCAUGAGCCACUAAAUACAACCCAAGACUGAAAUAAAAAGUACUAAGGAUAGGAAAGAGAAAGGCAGAGCUGCGAACGUCGUGCAGCUACCUUGCAAUCUCUGGAUAAUACUCUGAAGGCAACGAUCAACUCUCACUCGGAGGCUCUAGCAUCUAGAUCUGCACACAAGGUGCAGGGAGUAACGUGAGUACGCCAACUCAGUAAGUAACCAGAGUAAAUAAAGGCUGAGUGCAGUGACGAGCAUUUAAAAUCAUAUACAUACUUUAUAAAAGAAUCUCAACAAAAAUAUCAAAGUCAAAAUCUGUAGUUCAAUUACCGAAUAUCUCAUAAAAACUUCAAUUUCAAUAAAAGUUCUUUAAAAACUUUUACUCAACACUUUACAACAGAGGCUCAGUAUCAAAGAAGAGUGGGAACAGUAAAUUCAUAAACAAGUCCCUCGGCAAAGUAUCACUCAUAAGUAUAUCCCCUCGAGCAAGCCUCUCAGUCACUCGUGACUUAUCUCUCGUCAAUCAGUACUCACAGUCAUCACUCCCGCUUAAUAGAUAUCUCAUAAUAAUAACUACUGCGGCGUGCAGCCCGAUCCGUAAUAUAUAGUCGACUGCGCUCACUAGGGGUAUGCAGACUCCGGAGGGGCUCCUACAGCCCAAGCGCUAUAUCGCUGCGGUGUGCAUAUAUAUAUAUAUAUCGCUGCGGCAUGUAGCCCGAUCCAUAAAUAUAUAUAAUCCUCACCAUCAGGUCCUCGACCUCUCUCAGUCAUUAACCUUAUAGCCACACGGGCAUUUUAGUAAAAAUCAGGGAAUUCAGCCCAAACAGUUUCCAUAUAUUUAAAAGUAGAGUAAUGAAACUGAAUCAAAAUAAACAGGUAAAAAUCAUGACUAAGGAUAUGCUUCCAAAUCAAACAGUGUAAGGAAAGUAGUAAAAUACCCCUGAAGGUCCAAACAGUUCGGCACAAGUCCCCAAACAUGGCAUUCAACCCAAGUUAACAGAUUCAUUUCUAAAACUCAUGGAUAUCAUAUACAGUUUAUCAAAAUACGUAACUAUACAGUCGCUACGGGACGGACCUAGUCACAAUUCCUACGGGUGCACGCCUACAUGCCCAUUACGUAGUAUGUGCGUCACCUCAUUUAUCAAAACAGUACGAAAUUUCGGGGUUUCAUACCCUCGGGUCUAGAUUUACAAGAGUUAUUUACCUCAAACCGGACGAAAAUCUACUUCGCAAUGCCCUUGCCUCUCGACUCGGCUUCAAAUCGUCUCGAAUCUAUCCAAAAUCAGAUUCAUAACAUCAAUACAAGCCAAAGGGACAAAGCCCACUUGAAAAUUAUCAAAUUAAACUCAAAAUCCCGAAAUUGGUCAAACCCGACCCUCGGGUCCGCGUCUCAAAAUCCGAUAAAAAUCACAACACUAGAAUCCUCAUCCUCUCACGAGUUAUACAUACCAAGAACAUCAAAAUCGGACCUCAAAUGGCCCCUCAAAUCCCCAAUGAAAACUCUAUAAUUUCAAGCCAUAGUCUCCCAAUUUCUUCUCUAAUUUUCCAUAACUUUCAUCAUUAUACAAUGGAAUAAUUGCCACAAACAUAAGAUACAAGGUCCAAGUAGCUUACCUCACUGAAAACACUUAAAUUCCUCCUUGAAAUCGAAAUUCCCAAGCUCCAACUCGGCCAAAAAUGGUGGAUAAAAGACUGAAAUUCGCGAAGUGAGGUUUAUAUAGUUUCUGCCCAGCGAUUUUCGCACCUGCGAUCCACUUCCUGCACCUGCGGGACCGCUUCUGCUUUCCAGCUAACCGCUUAUGCAGUUUUCACUUAUUUUCCCUUAACCACAUUUGCGACUCCCCACCGCACCUGCGGUAACGCAGGUGCGUUCCUUCUUCCGCACCUGCGGCUCCUGGCCUUCUCACUUAUGGCCGCAUCUGCAGCUGCUUCCUCGCUCCUGCGGACGUCGCAUAUACGGUUCCCUCUCCGCAUGUGUGGUUAUGAUAGUACACAACAGCUGAAGCUGAUCAUUAUCAAUACCAAACUUUUCGACAAUCUUCUGAAUUCAUCGUGAGGCCCCCAGGACCUCAACCAAAAAUACGAACAUGUCACAUAUCAUCAUUCAAACUCAUACCUAUCAUACCUCCCUUUUACUACCCCGAGGGUAUAUGAGAGUUUUUUCAAUUGAAGUGACAUAAAUCGAAAUNNNNNNNNNNNNNNNNNNNNNNNNNNNNNNNNNNNNNNNNNNNNNNNNNNNNNNNNCGAGGAAAUUUUCGACUUUAUUUUACAGUCUGCGAACCAGAAAUUCUAGAUAAGGAAUUCUGUUAACCCGGAAAAAGGUGCUAGCCAUUCCCGGAUUCCGUGGUUCUAGCACGAUGGCUUAGUGAUUAUUACUUGGCUUAAAUUGUUUAACUACUCAUUUUUAAGACGUAUGUGCAUUUAUCUUUUACCGCUUUUAAUUACUUGAAUUAAUCGUAAUUAAAGAAUUGAGUUACGCGUAUGUAUACUCUCUUCUUCGGGUGCGUCAAAAAUUAUGUCACGCGAACAUGUCCACAAUUAAUAAUGCUUUGUGUAUUUUAUUAAGGAAAUUUGGUUGAAGUUGCGUGAAUGCAUCCCUCGGGUUACUUUUAGAAUUAAAUUUGCAAUUAUGUUACGUGAACGUAUACACAAUCACAAUACUAAUCUAAAUCGAGCCUAAAGCAAACUACGAUUAUUUAGGAUUAUUUUAAUACUAAGUUAAUAUUUAUACGAGGGCCAUAGAUUAUUUAGUGAAAAGAUGUCACACCUCAAUUUUUAGAAGGCUUGUUUAAUCAAGAUAAUAAAGGAGUUAUUACUCACAAAUAUUUUGGGCUUAAUGUCAAACAAGCCUAUAACGAUUUGGACAAGAGAAACUGGGCCAAUAGCAGCCCAGUAUAUCAUUGACAAGGUGAAAUAAAGGGAAGUGGAGAUGUCACCAAUUGGGCUCCAAAAUCGGGCCCAGAUGCAGGACCAGAGGGAAAUUGAAUAACAGAGGUCUAAUUUGGCUAGGAAUCACGACUUGGGCCAUCAACAGACCCAAUUUUUCAAUGGUCAAGUUUUAAAUACUAACAACAACUACUGCAAUCACAACAAAAAUUUUAUGCCAAUAUUUGCAUGAGUUUUAAAACAAAACGCAUAAUACAAUAGGCCCUAACUGAUUAAGUUGUAUCUAAUAAUAAAAGGACCAAAUUAGAAUCUACACCAUUUUAAAACACGGAUGAACAAUCACUUUUAAAAAUACAUAUAUGGAAUCAGUAGCGAUUAAGGGCUAAAUGGUUGUAUUCUUUCUUACAAGGGGACUAACUCUUAUUUACAAGACGUAUAAAAGACCUUUCAAUUGAAACACUCAUUCUAAAUCAAAAUUUUAAAGCUUCCAAAUAUCUUACACAUCACAGCCAUGCUAGCAAAGAAGAAAUCCAACUAUAAUACUAACACUCCUCAUGACUUACAUGAAUAUGUUUAUCUAAAAGAGUCUAAAACAACCCUACAUAUACAGUCCUUCAAAUAGUAGCCCAGUCUCUUAUAUACACAUGAAGUUCCAACUCUAAUUUUCAGCUCAAAAAAAAAGCUAAGACAAAACUGGAUAAAAAUAGACAUCGAUUUGACAUAAUGAAAUGAGGACUUAAACAGAUGAAGAGAAAGAAUGAAAAUGGAAAAAAGAAGAAAAGAAGCAAGAAAGUGUUUUAAAAAGAAGAAACACAGAUCUGCAGCUUCAACAUGUAACCAAGCAUAUUAUAACUUCAACUUUGCAUUUCAUGGUUUGGUGAAGUACCUGGUACAACAAGUAAAGCAAAAUUCUGAGGUCAAACAAUAUAAAAAUCCACCAAAAAAAUAGCAACCAAAUGAGCAACGAAAAUCACAGCUUCAAUGAGCAGCUCUACUUCAACUUAGAACCCAGAAAAUUCCCAUGAAAUAGAACCCUUUUGUAAAAAAAACUAGUAUGCUUUUCGAGUGAACUUAGAAUGAGAGAAUGCAUAGAACUUUUAGGUCUUUCUUUUAGGUUAUCCAAAUCUGAUUUUUCUGUAUAGAAAUGGUACCAUAUAUAGGUACCAAAAAUGCCAUGUGCUGGAGGAAUUAUUCCUCGGCCACAAAGAGUAUAUUCCAACAGAAUUGGACAACUGGUUUUUCCCCAUUGGUUUCAGUACUUUGUACUAACCAAAUGAGGCCAGCUGCCCCUCUAUUCUAGAACAUUACUGCCUAAAAUUAUCUGAUUUCAAAAACUAUCUAACCCUUUAUGACCCCCUAAGUUUCUAUACUUAUAAUUAACCCUCUACAAAUCCUUUAGGAAUUGAAACACAUCAAGUUUAGAAUUGGAUUGAUUACGAGCAAAAAAUAAGAUAAGCAAAGAUUACUAAACGAAACUCAAAAUGCACUACGAACUUAAACUGGUUAAACAUGAGUUAAGCUAAAAAAAACCUUAAUGAUCCAAAAUUAUGGCCUCCUGAAUUAUUUAAAUCGUCACAGAAAAAGGGCAAACAUAGAAAGUGGAGUGAUGAACAGAGAAGAAGAUAAAGAAAAGGAUGACGAAAUAGAAAAGGAAAAGAAAAGAAGAAGAUGAAAGGAUACCUUUGCUAUAAUGGGAAACCAAUUGGCUUAGGCGGAACGGGUCACCUUCGAUUUAAAAUACAAUAGGUGUUAGACGAAUGUUCUCGUCAAGAACAAAUGGAUAACACCCAUUUCCGGCUUAAAUCCUCUUCGGAAAACCCCAAAUCGUGUGAUCUAGGUUUUUGCAUGUUUUCAGAUCCGAAAUUUAAAUGGCUUAAGGGGAAAUCGAAGGAUAUGGCUUGGGGAUUUGGAAAGGGGAGAGGACAAGGGUUAACUGGUGGGAAUUUGGGGAGGUUUGGAGCAGUUAGGGUUUUUUAGGCCUGAUUUCAAUCUAAAGUUUGAGCAAAUCGGCAGGGAUUCGAGGGAAGCUAGUUGGGGAUUGGGAAUGAGGAGGUUAUGGGGAAUUCAUGGUGUUAUUUUGGGAAAGAUUGGAACACCGGAACCGCCGUGAGGCGAUUCCCGACGGGUGUUUGACGGCGGAACGGCGAGGGAAUAAAGAGGCGGCUAGGGUUUGGUUCUUUGAGAGAGGGGAGAGAUUGAGUGAGGGUUGAAU